This 74-nucleotide transfer RNA is filed under the name Latilactobacillus curvatus. Its description in RNAcentral is "tRNA-Val". It matches the Rfam family "tRNA". From Rfam's summary of the family: Transfer RNA (tRNA) molecules are approximately 80 nucleotides in length. Their secondary structure includes four short double-helical elements and three loops (D, anti-codon, and T loops). The record is from RNAcentral. Lineage: Bacteria; Bacillati; Bacillota; Bacilli; Lactobacillales; Lactobacillaceae.
GGAGGUUUAGCUCAGUUGGGAGAGCGUCUGCCUUACAAGCAGAGGGUCACAGGUUCGAGCCCUGUAACCCUCCA